AUAGCUCCUUGCGUCGUCCUCAACUUAAGUGGAACCCUUCUCGUAAGCCUCCAGGUUUCUGCCCCGUACAUCACUUGUAUUACGACCUGCUGUUGAGUGAAAAUAAGAGUAUUGUGCCCCCAAAAUGUGAAGAAUUCUUUCAAACCAAAAAAGGCGACAACCGAGAGAGUAAAAAUGAUGGGAUCGAUACCUGCAAGCCCAAAAUAAAGUGACCAACUCAACACUGCGCACUCACAAGAAAGAAAGCUAAAUUUUUCUGAAGCUCUUUGGACAUACACAAGAUAGCAUAUUUGUAACAUUCUUAUAAAAUGGCAAUUAUACUGCUAC
RNAcentral lists this long non-coding RNA (327 nucleotides) under Dermacentor andersoni. Its description in RNAcentral is "uncharacterized LOC126535282". The record is from RNAcentral. Lineage: Eukaryota; Metazoa; Arthropoda; Arachnida; Ixodida; Ixodidae.